Molecule: transfer RNA, 74 nt
Filed under: Caudoviricetes sp.
Lineage: Duplodnaviria; Heunggongvirae; Uroviricota; Caudoviricetes
Description: tRNA-Arg
Rfam family: tRNA
About the family: Transfer RNA (tRNA) molecules are approximately 80 nucleotides in length. Their secondary structure includes four short double-helical elements and three loops (D, anti-codon, and T loops). Further hydrogen bonds mediate the characteristic L-shaped molecular structure. tRNAs have two regions of fundamental functional importance: the anti-codon, which is responsible for specific mRNA codon recognition, and the 3' end, to which the tRNAs corresponding amino acid is attached (by aminoacyl-tRNA synthetases). tRNAs cope with the degeneracy of the genetic code in two manners: having more than one tRNA (with a specific anti-codon) for a particular amino acid; and 'wobble' base-pairing, i.e. permitting non-standard base-pairing at the 3rd anti-codon position.
Source: RNAcentral
UGCAGGUUGGAGUAAAGGAAACUCGACGGUCUCCUAAGCCGUAAAUGUGGGGUCGAUUCCCGCACCUGCUACUA